RNAcentral lists this small RNA (123 nucleotides) under uncultured Paenibacillus sp. Its description in RNAcentral is "ydaO/yuaA leader". It matches the Rfam family "c-di-AMP riboswitch aptamer (ydaO/yuaA leader)", at positions 12 to 118 of the family's 134-position model. From Rfam's summary of the family: This family represents a conserved RNA structure found upstream of the ydaO and yuaA genes in Bacillus subtilis and related genes in other bacteria. The ydaO/yuaA element is thought to act as a genetic "off" switch for the ydaO and yuaA genes in its native state. Lineage: Bacteria; Bacillati; Bacillota; Bacilli; Caryophanales; Paenibacillaceae. The record is from RNAcentral.
AAUACGCUUAAUUUUCGAUGAGUAAAGUCGAAAAGCGGGGGAACCACUUUUUGGGGCGAAUCGUUGCUAGUACUAACGUAGGGAACCAUCUUUCCCGAGCCCGUCAGCUAACCUCGUUUGCAG